RNAcentral lists this ribosomal RNA (927 nucleotides) under uncultured bacterium. Its description in RNAcentral is "bacterial SSU rRNA". It matches the Rfam family "Bacterial small subunit ribosomal RNA", at positions 57 to 1013 of the family's 1533-position model. The record is from RNAcentral.
GCAAGUCGAACGGAGUUAUAUUGUAGCUUGCUAUGGUAUAACUUAGUGGCAGACGGGUGAGUAAUGUAUAGGAAUCUACCUAGUAGUACGGAAUAAUUGUUGGAAACGGCAACUAAUACCGUAUACGCCCUACGGGGGAAAAAUUUACUGCUAUUAGAUGAGCCUAUAUUAGAUUAGCUAGUUGGUGGAGUAAUAGCCUACCAAGGCAAUGAUCUAUAGCUGAUCUGAGAGGAUGAUCAGCCAUACUGGAACUGAGAUACGGUCCAGACUCCUACGGGAGGCAGCAGUGGGGAAUAUUGGACAAUGGGCGAAAGCCUGAUCCAGCCAUGCCGCAUGAGUGAAGAAGGCCUUUGGGUUGUAAAGCUCUUUUAGUGAGGAAGAUAAUGACGGUACUCACAGAAGAAGUCCUGGCUAACUCCGUGCCAGCAGCCGCGGUAAUACGGAGAGGGCUAGCGUUAUUCGGAAUUAUUGGGCGUAAAGGGCGCGUAGGCUGGUUAGUAAGUUAAAAGUGAAAUCCCGAGGCUUAACCUUGGAAUUGCUUUUAAAACUGCUAACCUAGAGAUUGAAAGAGGAUAGAGGAAUUCCUAGUGUAGAGGUGAAAUUCGUAAAUAUUAGGAGGAACACCAGUGGCGAAGGCGUCUAUCUGGUUCAAAUCUGACGCUGAGGCGCGAAGGCGUGGGGAGCAAACAGGAUUAGAUACCCUGGUAGUCCACGCUGUAAACGAUGAAUGUUAAAUAUGGGGAGUUUACUUUCUGUAUUACAGCUAACGCGUUAAACAUUCCGCCUGGGGACUACGGUCGCAAGAUUAAAACUCAAAGGAAUUGACGGGGACCCGCACAAGCGGUGGAGCAUGUGGUUUAAUUCGAUGCAACGCGAAAAACCUUACCACUCCUUGACAUGGAAAUUAUACCUAUUCGAAGGGAUAGG